GACGAACGCUGGCGGCGUGCCUAAUACAUGCAAGUAGAACGCUGAAGGAGGAGCUUGCUUCUCUGGAUGAGUUGCGAACGGGUGAGUAACGCGUAGGUAACCUGCCUGGUAGCGGGGGAUAACUAUUGGAAACGAUAGCUAAUACCGCAUAAGAGUAGAUGUUGCAUGACAUUUGCUUAAAAGGUGCAAUUGCAUCACUACCAGAUGGACCUGCGUUGUAUUAGCUAGUUGGUGGGGUAACGGCUCACCAAGGCGACGAUACAUAGCCGACCUGAGAGGGUGAUCGGCCACACUGGGACUGAGACACGGCCCAGACUCCUACGGGAGGCAGCAGUAGGGAAUCUUCGGCAAUGGACGGAAGUCUGACCGAGCAACGCCGCGUGAGUGAAGAAGGUUUUCGGAUCGUAAAGCUCUGUUGUAAGAGAAGAACGAGUGUGAGAGUGGAAAGUUCACACUGCGACGGUAUCUGACCAGAAAGGGACGGCUAACUACGUG
This 495-nucleotide ribosomal RNA is filed under the name uncultured bacterium. RNAcentral's name for it is "partial 16S ribosomal RNA". It matches the Rfam family "Bacterial small subunit ribosomal RNA", at positions 28 to 507 of the family's 1533-position model. The record is from RNAcentral.